CCUACGGGAGGCAGCAGUGAGGAAUAUUGGUCAAUGGACGGAAGUCUGAACCAGCCAUGCCGCGUGCAGGAUGACGGCUCUAUGAGUUGUAAACUGCUUUUGUACGAGAAUAAUAGUUCUUACGUGUAGGGAUUUGAAUGUAUUUUACGAAUAAGGAUCGGCUAACUCCGUGCCAGCAGCCGCGGUAAUACGGAGGAUUCGAGCGUUAUCCGGAUUUAUUGGGUUUAAAGGGUGCGUAGGCUGUUGGGUAAGGUAGAGGUCAAAUGCCGGAGCUGAAACCCGUGCCUGCCUCUGAUACUGGUCGCCGAGAGAGCGGAUGCAGCAGGCGGAAUGAGUAGUGUAGCGGUGAAAUGCUUAGAUAUUACUCAGAACGCCGAUUGCGCAGGCAGCUUGCUAAUCCGGAUCUGACGCUGAUGCACGAAAGCGUGGGUAGCGAACAGGAUUAGAUACCCCAGUAGUC
This 460-nucleotide ribosomal RNA is filed under the name uncultured bacterium. Its description in RNAcentral is "partial 16S ribosomal RNA". It matches the Rfam family "Bacterial small subunit ribosomal RNA", at positions 338 to 795 of the family's 1533-position model. The record is from RNAcentral.